CUCCUCACCGCCGCCCUCGUCGUUGUAGCUCACCACGUUGUCGCGGACGUCCUCCUUGGAGAUGAUGAGCGGCUCCUUCUUCCUCUGGCGCCUCAAUGCGGUGAACAGGACCACGAUCACUGAGGAGACAACGGCACAGAGUUUGUCUAAAGACGCUCGUGAAAGCAUGGUACCGCAGGCUGCGCCAGGAGGGAGGAAGAGCAGGUGGCGCUCACGGCUCCCAGGACAAUGAUCAGCAUCAUGUCCCUAUGCUCCUAAGCCACGUGUUGCCACACAGAUCAAUAGGCGAAGGAAUUUUCCACGAAUGUAGAAUAUGCACAAAAGCCCACUGGACCGUGACCGCUGCCUGAACAAGAGGAUGAGUGGGGACGCGGUGGAGGUCUGGUUCUGACGAGCAGCAGCCGACUGCCGCUCCGACCCACGUUGUCUCAUUACCGCCAAUGAGCCGCACGUGUCGAAGCCGCCGCUGCACGGGGCCGGCGAGAGCAAACAUGCUGCACGCUGCGUGAACACGAUUCAUUUGACAUCAUAGUUUUUUCUGCCAUUUGAUUUUGAAGUUUUGUUUGUUUUCUCUUUUUACAAUGUUUGUUAUUUUACAUUGUUCCUUCAUAUUUCGGUCGAGGCGGACAUCUAGGCUCCAUACAACAUAGUUUUGUUACUGGCUGUAUAAUGUUUUCUACGAUUUAACUACAUGAAAGCAGUUCGGGUCAGAUACUUUGCAUCUGAACAUCUGAUAUUCUCAAUGACAAGAUUAAAGAAUGUGAAAUGUAAUGACUUUAGUGUUUGUAAAAGGAAAUGGUUGAGAAGAGCUGUAGGACGACUGGAGGACGGGAGGGAGUGAACACGCAGCAGAGUGCCUUUUAUUAUUUUUCAUUCAUGUUAAUCUUUUGAUUUGAUUCUAUUUGUAUUUUUAUUUUUU
Molecule: long non-coding RNA, 919 nt
Organism: Scophthalmus maximus (turbot)
Lineage: Eukaryota; Metazoa; Chordata; Actinopteri; Pleuronectiformes; Scophthalmidae
Exons: 3
Source: RefSeq, a predicted model, not a curated record